RNAcentral lists this ribosomal RNA (468 nucleotides) under uncultured bacterium. RNAcentral describes it as "partial 16S ribosomal RNA". It matches the Rfam family "Bacterial small subunit ribosomal RNA", at positions 28 to 507 of the family's 1533-position model. The record is from RNAcentral.
GACGAACGCUGGCGGCGUGCUUAACACAUGCAAGUCGAACGGAAAGGCCCUGCUUUUGUGGGGUGCUCGAGUGGCGAACGGGUGAGUAACACGUGAGUAACCUGCCCUUGACUUUGGGAUAACUUCAGGAAACUGGGGCUAAUACCGGAUAGGAGCUCCUGCUGCAUGGUGGGGGUUGGAAAGUUUCGGCGGUUGGGGAUGGACUCGCGGCUUAUCAGCUUGUUGGUGGGGUAGUGGCUUACCAAGGCUUUGACGGGUAGCCGGCCUGAGCUGGUGACCGGCCACAUUGGGACUGAGUUACGGCCCAGACUCCUACGGGAGGCAGCAGUGGGGAAUAUUGCACAAUGGGCGGAAGCCUGAUGCAGCAACGCCGCGUGCGGGAUGACGGCCUUCGGGUUGUAAACCGCUUUCGCCUGUGACGAAGCGUGAGUGACGGUAAUGGGUAAAGAAGCACCGGCUAACUACGUG